CCCCAGCCUUUGUAUUACUAUGGUUGGAGGGAAGCACGUAAUAAUCUUUAGAAAGGGAAUACAUGGGCUAUAUUGCACGUUAGAUGGUGAAAAUGGCCUGUCCAUGGAGAAAAGUGGACCAAGAGCUGAUGUGAAGGAGCCGCGGAUCAGGCCUUGUGUUGACCUUGGGACUUCAAAUAAGCAAAUGAGCGAAACAAGGCACUGCAUUUAGUAUCCAAGUGAUAACCUGACAACCCAUGAAGAUCAAGUGAACAGUGCCGUAAAUGUGGAAGCAGAGGAAAGCUGAAUUUCCACCCGUAUAACAUGUUUUCCUGAAACCACAAUCCUGCCUUCACAGACAGAGUUGUCAUAAUUUAACAACAAGAGAAAAGUGAAACCACAAAACCACAUCUUCAGGUUGGGAAUCUGCAAACGUUUUCUGUUAAAGGUCAGAUAAUAAAUACAUUAGAUUUUGUGACCAC
RNAcentral lists this long non-coding RNA (461 nucleotides) under Bos taurus (domestic cattle). RNAcentral's name for it is "long non-coding RNA NONBTAT014851". The record is from RNAcentral. Lineage: Eukaryota; Metazoa; Chordata; Mammalia; Artiodactyla; Bovidae.